CGCCUUGCCAGCCCGCUCAGAACUCAAAGGAAUUGACGGGGCCCGCACAAGCGGUGGAGUAUGUGGUUUAAUUCGAUGCAACGCGAAGAACCUUACCUGGUCUUGACAUCCCGGAGACCCUUAGGAAACUAGGGGGUGCUUCCAUCUGGAAGAAUCUGGAGACAGGUGCUGCAUGGCUGUCGUCAGCUCGUGUCGUGAGAUGUUGGGUUAAGUCCCGCAACGAGCGCAACCCUUGCCUUUAGUUGCCAGCAGUUCGGCUGGGCACUCUAAAGGGACUGCCGGUGUUAAACCGGAGGAAGGUGGGGAUGACGUCAAGUCCUCAUGGCCUUUAUGACCAGGGCUACACACGUACUACAAUGGCCGAUACAAAGGGCAGCGACACUGCGAGGUGAAGCCAAUCCCGUAAAAUCGGUCUCAGUCCGGAUUGGAGUCUGCAACUCGACUCCAUGAAGUUGGAAUCGCUAGUAAUCGUGGAUCAGAAUGUCACGGUGAAUACGUUCCCGGGCCUU
This 509-nucleotide ribosomal RNA is filed under the name uncultured Desulfobulbus sp. RNAcentral's name for it is "bacterial SSU rRNA". It matches the Rfam family "Bacterial small subunit ribosomal RNA", at positions 903 to 1382 of the family's 1533-position model. Lineage: Bacteria; Pseudomonadati; Thermodesulfobacteriota; Desulfobulbia; Desulfobulbales; Desulfobulbaceae. The record is from RNAcentral.